AACGUACGCUGGCGGCACGCCUAACACAUGCAAGUCGAACGCAGUAGCAAUACUGAGUGGCAGACGGGUGAGUAACAUGUGGGAAUCUGCCUUGUGGUUCAGGACAACAUUGGGAAACCGAUGCUAAUACUGGAUAAGCCCUUACGGGGAAAGUUUUUAAUGCCAUAAGAUGAGCCCGCAUUUGAUUAGUUAGUUGGUGAGGUAAUGGCUCACCAAGACAAUGAUCAAUAGCUGAUCUGAGAGGAUGAUCAGCCACACUGGGACUGAGACACGGCCCAGACUCCUACGGGAGGCAGCAGUGGGGAAUAUUGGACAAUGGGCGAAAGCCUGAUCCAGCAAUGCCGCGUGAGUGAUGAAGGCCUUAGGGUUGUAAAGCUCUUUUACCCGAGAUGAUAAUGACAGUAUCGGGAGAAUAAGCUCCGGCUAACUCCGUG
Molecule: ribosomal RNA, 434 nt
Filed under: uncultured bacterium
Lineage: Bacteria
Description: bacterial SSU rRNA
Rfam family: Bacterial small subunit ribosomal RNA
Source: RNAcentral